ACGCACGCUGGCGGCGUGCUUAACCCAUGCACGUCGAACGGAAAGGCCUCUUUCGGGGGGUACUCGAGUGGCGAACGGGUGAGUAACACGUGAGUAACCUGCCCUUGACUUUGGGAUAACUUCAGGAAACUGGGGCUAAUACCGGAUAGGAGCUCCUGCUGCAUGGUGGGGGUUGGAAAGUUUCGGCGGUUGGGGAUGGACUCGCGGCUUAUCAGCUUGUUGGUGGGGUAGUGGCUUACCAAGGCUUUGACGGGUAGCCGGCCUGAGAGGGUGACCGGCCACAUUGGGACUGAGAUACGGCCCAGACUCCUACGGGAGGCAGCAGUGGGGAAUAUUGCACAAUGGGUGGAAGCCUGAUGCAGCAACGCCGUGUGCGGGAUGACGGCCUUCGGGUUGUAAACCGCUUUCGCUCAUGACGAAGCUUUGUGUGACGGUAGUGGGUAAAGAAGCACCGGCUAACUACGUG
RNAcentral lists this ribosomal RNA (466 nucleotides) under uncultured bacterium. RNAcentral's name for it is "partial 16S ribosomal RNA". It matches the Rfam family "Bacterial small subunit ribosomal RNA", at positions 29 to 507 of the family's 1533-position model. The record is from RNAcentral.